This 1688-nucleotide ribosomal RNA is filed under the name candidate division WWE3 bacterium GW2011_GWA1_41_8. Its description in RNAcentral is "bacterial LSU rRNA". It matches the Rfam family "Bacterial large subunit ribosomal RNA", at positions 1208 to 2910 of the family's 2925-position model. Lineage: Bacteria; candidate division WWE3. The record is from RNAcentral.
CCUCUUUUAGGGGUUGGAUGGUAGGGGAGCAUUGAUGUCUGCCAUGAAGGUGUAUCGCGAGGUAUGCUGGAGCGUCAUCAAGUGAGAAUGCUAGCAUGAGUAACGAGAGGAAGGUGAAAACCCUUCCCGCCAAAAGUCUAAGGGUUCCUCCGCAAUGCCAGUCAACGGAGGGUUAGUCGACCCUAAGGUGAGGCCGAAAGGCGUAGCCGAUGGAUAGCAGGUUAAUAUUCCUGCACUACCGUAAGAUCGUUCGACCAAUGGAGGGACGGAGACCGAUGAACUGAGCCCAUUAUGGAUUUGGGUCCAGAAGGCAAGUCAGUCCGUGUAGGAAAAUCCGCACGGGCGUUUAUACGAGCCGGUGGAUAGGCCCCUAAAAAGGCCGAUUCAGUCUCAUUGGACUUCCGAGAAAAGCUUCUAGGGAGAUCUUACGUGUAUUCGUACCGCAAUCCGACACAGGUAGACGGGUAGAGAAUACCAAGGUGAACGAGAGAAUCAUGGUUGAGGAACUAGGCAAAUUACGUCCGUAACUUAGGGAAAAGGACGCCCUGCGCGAGCAGGGGGCACAGAAAUGGCUCAAGCGACUGUUUAACAAAAACACAGGUCUCUGCUCAACUCGUAAGAGGAAGUAUAGGGGCCGACGCGUGCCCAGUGCCCGUAAGUUAAAUCUGGAGGUGAUUUCCAUCUUGUAUGGAAUGAGCUUUCGGUACAAGCUCGGGUGAACGGCAGCAGUAACUAUAACUGUUCUAUGGUAGCGUAAUCCCUUGCCGGGUAAGUUCCGGCCUGCACGAAACGCGUAACGACUUGAGCGCUCUCUUAAUCAUGAACUCGGUGAAAUUGAACUACCGGUGAAGAUGCCGGUUACUCGUUGUUGGACAAAAAGACCCCGUGGAGCUUCACUGCAGCUUGGCAUUGGUAAGUGAUGUCAACUGUGUAGCGUAGGAGGGAGUUUGGGCUUAAAACCCCAAACGUCAAUGAAACACCUCUCUGUUGAUAUUGUGAACCUAACUGUGUGCCGUAAUCCGGCAUGAGGACAAUGUCUGGCAGGCAGUUUAACUGGGGCGGUUUCCUGCUAAAGGGUAACGCAGGAGCUCAAAGGUUCCCUUGGUGCCGAUGGAAAUGGCACUGUAAGUGUAAAGACAUAUGGGAGCUUUACUGUGAGACCUACAAGUCGAGCAGUUACGAAAGUAGGACUUAGUGAUCUUCCGAGUGCUUAUUGGUAAGCCCGGAACUUAACGGAUAAAAGUUACCCCGGGGAUAACAGGCUGAUCUUGCCCGAGCGUCCACAGCGGCGGCAAGGUUUGGCACCUGAUGUCGUCUCGUCACAUCCUGGGGCUGAAGUAGGUCCCAAGGGUCCGGCUGUUCGCCGGUUAAAGUGGCGCGUUAGAUGGGUUCAGAGCGUCGUGAGACAGCUCGGUCUCUUUCCACAACGAGCGUUUGGGUUCUGAGGGAAUUUGUUCCUAGUACGAGAGGACCGGAAUGAACAAACCUCUGGUGUACCAGUUGUUCCGCCAGGAGCAUCGCUGGGUAGCUACGUUUGGUCGGGAUAAGCGCUGAAAGCAUCUAAGCACGAAGCCCAUCCCAAGAUAAGAACCCUUCCGCGCAAGCGGACGCACCUCCUGGGAGAUCACCAGGUUGAUAGGCCACAGGUGUACGCAUAGUAAUGUGUUUAGCCAAGUGGUACUAAUGGU